Molecule: ribosomal RNA, 372 nt
Filed under: Triticum aestivum (bread wheat)
Lineage: Eukaryota; Viridiplantae; Streptophyta; Magnoliopsida; Poales; Poaceae
Description: partial small subunit ribosomal RNA
Source: RNAcentral
AGCAUGGAUGUUGGAUUCAGCUUGCUCUUUUUUCAUGCGACGCCCAACAGGGAGUGGUUCUCUUCGUGCAAGUCUGGUGAGUUUGGUUUAGCCUAUGUGGGCGAUGACACAGGUUAUCGUGUUGCUAGAGUAGGUGACAUCAAAAUCAAGAUGUUUGAUGGAGUUGAGCGGAUGCUUCGGGGAGUCAGGCAUGUGCCAGGGCUAAGGAGGAAUCUAAUUUCGCUUGGUGUUCUUCAUGAUGGUGGUAUGGAAUUCCGUUGUGAUCGGGAUACGAAGACCAUGGAAAUCAUGGAAGAUGGGGUGACUGUGAUGAUAGGAGAGAGGAAGUCUUCACAUCUUUACAAGUUGCAAGGGAGCACUAUUGCAGGUGGA